Long non-coding RNA from Cavia porcellus (domestic guinea pig), 824 nucleotides. RefSeq lists it as uncharacterized. The record is from RefSeq and is a predicted model, not a curated record. The transcript has 2 exons. NCBI's taxonomy places the organism in Eukaryota, Metazoa, Chordata, Mammalia, Rodentia, Caviidae.
AGAGCCAUUAAACACACUGAUAAUGUUUCUCUUUGCAGCCUGCUGAGCUGUGAGCCUGCUCCAGGCACUGCUGUCCUUGGUGCCCUGAGGUCUACACCUGUGGAACCAGGCGGUUGCUGCUCUGUGAUGUGAAUCAGCCUAGUGACACCAGCUCCCAUGGGAGAAGUGCCUGAUGCAGGCGAAGCAAGAGCUCCGCACCGAGCUACGCUCCCAGCAGAUGGGAGAUCCGCAGAGCUUCCUUCCAGGCGGCAGCCACACAGGACCAGCCCGGACAAAAGCACACUGAGUCUGUCCUUCCUGGGAGGGCACUUUUAGGGGACAGUGGCUCCCCCACCCGCUCAGUGGGGUCUGCCCGAAAUUCAGGUACAUGGUUUCAUUGACAGGAACUGAUUUAAAAGUCACUCAGCAGCAAGUGACCCACCUCAGUCUGGAAGCACACCUUUGUAAAGCCGCCCUUGCCCUGUUUCGCUGGCUCUGGGGGAGUGGGGAGGAGGCGGCUCCCAGAGAACCACGCAGGGUUUGGGGCUGGGUUUCCUCACCUGUGUCUCCUAAGAAAGGAGAAAUGAGGUGGAGUCCAGGUUCACCCCGCCACUCUCCUUCCUUCCUGAAAACCACAUCCUGAGCUAAGGAACGCAGUUCCUCCCAGAGAUCUUGAACAUGUUCAUUUGCUAAAUCCAUUUAUUUCUCCUUAAAAUUCUGCAGCACCAGGAUGCUAGUCACAGUGAAGGAAAAGGAGCUCAUUUACUUCAAAAUGAACCCAGCCAGAUGCCUACAGAGAUCACAUUUUUAUUUUCUCUUUCCCUAUUAAAAAAUAUGUCUUGUGA